This 450-nucleotide ribosomal RNA is filed under the name uncultured bacterium. RNAcentral describes it as "partial 16S ribosomal RNA". It matches the Rfam family "Bacterial small subunit ribosomal RNA", at positions 354 to 796 of the family's 1533-position model. The record is from RNAcentral.
GUGGGGAAUUUUGGACAAUGGGCGCAAGCCUGAUCCAGCAAUGCCGCGUGCAGGAAGAAGGCCUUCGGGUUGUAAACUGCUUUUGUACGGAACGAAACGGUCCGGGUUAAUACCCUGGGCUAAUGACGGUACCGUAAGAAUAAGCACCGGCUAACUACGUGCCAGCAGCCGCGGUAAUACGUAGGGUGCAAGCGUUAAUCGGAAUUACUGGGCGUAAAGCGUGCGCAGGCGGUUUUGUAAGACAGGCGUGAAAUCCCCGGGCUCAACCUGGGAAUUGCGCUUGUGACGGCAAGGCUGGAGUGCGGCAGAGGGGGAUGGAAUUCCGCGUGUAGCAGUGAAAUGCGUAGAUAUGCGGAGGAACACCGAUGGCGAAGGCAAUCCCCUGGGCCUGCACUGACGCUCAUGCACGAAAGCGUGGGGAGCAAACAGGAUUAGAAACCCUAGUAGUCC